RNAcentral lists this non-coding RNA (31 nucleotides) under Mus musculus (house mouse). The record is from RNAcentral. Lineage: Eukaryota; Metazoa; Chordata; Mammalia; Rodentia; Muridae.
UAAGAAAGUGACCUCAAAGUACACGGAUGUC